UACGAAGGGGGCUAGCGUUGCUCGGAAUCACUGGGCGUAAAGCGCACGUAGGCGGCUUUUUAAGUCAGGGGUGAAAUCCUGGAGCUCAACUCCAGAACUGCCUUUGAUACUGAGAAGCUUGAGUCCGGGAGAGGUGAGUGGAACUGCGAGUGUAGAGGUGAAAUUCGUAGAUAUUCGCAAGAACACCAGUGGCGAAGGCGGCUCACUGGCCCGGUACUGACGCUGAGGCACGAAAGCGUGGGGAGCAAACGGG
RNAcentral lists this ribosomal RNA (253 nucleotides) under uncultured bacterium. RNAcentral describes it as "partial 16S ribosomal RNA". It matches the Rfam family "Bacterial small subunit ribosomal RNA", at positions 524 to 776 of the family's 1533-position model. The record is from RNAcentral.